AGAGUUUGAUCCUGGCUCAAAACGAACGCUGGCGGCGUGCUUAACACAUGCAAGUCGAACGGGACCUUCGGGUCUAGUGGCGGACGGGUGAGUAAUACAUAGGAAAUCUGCCUUUAGGUGGGGGACAACAAUCCGAAGGGGUUGCUAAUACCGCGUAAUGUCAUUAGCUGAAAUGUUAGUGAAGAAAGAUUUAUCGCUUUUAGAGGAGCCUAUGCUUGAUUAGCUAGUUGGUGGGGUAAAAGCCUACCAAGGCGACGAUCAAUAGCUGGUCUGAGAGGACGAUCACCCACACUGGGACUGAGACACGGCCCAUACUUCUACGGAAGGCAGCAGUGGGGAUUCUUCCGCAAUGGGCGCAAGCCUGACGGAGCGACGCCGCGUAUGGGAUGAAGUAUCUAGGUACGUAAACCAUUGUCAGUGGGGACGAAACAAAUGACGGUACCCACAGAGGAAGCAUCGGCUAACUACGUGCCAGCAGCCGCGGUAAUACGUAGGAUGCAAGCGUUGUUCGGAAUUACUGGGCGUAAAGAGUACGUAGGGCGGGUUUGGGUAAGUCUGAUAUUAAAGACUGGAUCUUAACUCCAGGACUGUAUCGAGAAACUGUCAGACUAGACGACUAUA
RNAcentral lists this ribosomal RNA (621 nucleotides) under uncultured bacterium. RNAcentral's name for it is "bacterial SSU rRNA". It matches the Rfam family "Bacterial small subunit ribosomal RNA", at positions 8 to 653 of the family's 1533-position model. The record is from RNAcentral.